RNAcentral lists this ribosomal RNA (460 nucleotides) under uncultured bacterium. RNAcentral's name for it is "partial 16S ribosomal RNA". It matches the Rfam family "Bacterial small subunit ribosomal RNA", at positions 338 to 795 of the family's 1533-position model. The record is from RNAcentral.
CCUACGGGAGGCAGCAGUGAGGAAUAUUGGUCAAUGGGCGCAAGCCUGAACCAGCCAAGUAGCGUGAAGGAUGACUGCCCUACGGGUUGUAAACUUCUUUUAUAAGGGAAUAAAGUGAGGCACGUGUGCCUUUUUUUAUGUACUUUAUGAAUAAGGAUCGGCUAACUCCGUGCCAGCAGCCGCGGUAAUACGGAGGAUCCGAGCGUUAUCCGGAUUUAUUGGGUUUAAAGGGAGCGUAGAUGGGUUGUUAAGUCAGUUGUGAAAGUUUUCGGCUCAACAGUAAAAUUGCAAUUGAUACUGGCAGCCUUGAGUACAGGUGAGGCAGGCGGAAUGCGUGGUGUAGCGGUGAAAUGCAUAGAUAGAACGAAGAACACCGAUGGCGAAGGCAGCAUACUAAACUGCAACUGACAUUGAGGCUCGAAAGUGUGGGGAUCAAACAGGAUUAGAUACCCUAGUAGUC